RNAcentral lists this ribosomal RNA (504 nucleotides) under uncultured soil bacterium. RNAcentral describes it as "bacterial SSU rRNA". It matches the Rfam family "Bacterial small subunit ribosomal RNA", at positions 26 to 524 of the family's 1533-position model. The record is from RNAcentral.
AGAUUGAACGCUGGCGGCAGGCCUAACACAUGCAAGUCGAGCGGUAGAGAGGUGCUUGCACCUCUUGAGAGCGGCGGACGGGUGAGUAAUGCCUAGGAAUCUGCCUAGUGGUGGGGGAUAACGUUCGGAAACGGACGCUAAUACCGCAUACGUCCUACGGGAGAAAGCGGGGGACCUUCGGGCCUCGCGCCAUUAGAUGAGCCUAGGUCGGAUUAGCUAGUUGGUGAGGUAAUGGCUCACCAAGGCGACGAUCCGUAACUGGUCUGAGAGGAUGAUCAGUCACACUGGAACUGAGACACGGUCCAGACUCCUACGGGAGCAGCAGUGGGAAUAUUGGACAAUGGGCGAAAGCCUGAUCCAGCCAAUGCCGCGUGUGUGAAGAAGGUCUUCGGAUUGUAAAGCAACUUUAAGUUGGAGGAAGGUUAGUAACUUAAGUACGUUGCAACGUUUGAACGUUACGACAGAAUAAGCAACCGGACUAACGUCGUGCAGCAGCCGAGUAAC